AAUUUUACUCGCUGCCGCUGUGGACAACGCACACAUAAAAGAUUACAUCAAGGAUAAAAGACAAGAUAACUUACUAUUCAAUGUCAUCGAUUACACUAUGGGCUCUUUAAAAAUUACACCAAAAACCUAUGUAAUUAGGGCUGAAGCUAUUAUGAGCACAAUACCAAUUAUCAAAAAGAGCAAUACGAUGCAAUAUAUUGAUGCGGCAACCAACAUCGCCACGCUUUAUGAAAAUUUAUUUGCACGGCAACCAACUUUAAUCAAACAAUCAGAAUGUUGUGGUGAAAAUGUCGAAAAAUCGUGCCAUUCCUCACAGAUGAGCUUCUGCUGGAUAGUAAUUUCGAAGAUUUAGCCCUGCAACGCAUCAUUGAAGUGGAUCCAAGAAUUUGUCCUGCAUGCAGAAAUAGAAAAACAGAGCAAUGGAAGCUGCUACAUAUAGAUCGUGUUAUAGCAUUUGAACCAGCUCAAAUCUCUGGGCCUGUACAGCUCGACAAGAUCCCGAAAUGUUUGCGUGCUGGCGAGGAAACUUUUAAACUGGUUGGAUGCGUCGGCUUUAAGGGUCUAAACAAUACUGGAUCGCGAUGCUCAACCAGCUUGGGCCACUACAUCGGCAUCGCCUUCCGAAGAGGAAAGUUUAUUAUAUACGAUGACCUAAACGACAGAGAGAUAGCUACGAAGUCAACGCACAAAAUAUUGCUAAGUCUUUUAAUUUAUGUAAUUAUAUAAAUAAAAUUAAAAAAAUUUUAUACCCAUCGAAAUCUAUUAUUUCCAACUUUUAUUAAAUAUCAUUUCAAGCGCUACGUAGUAACUUUCUCGAUAUCUAAAUUCCAUCGACAAUGGAAGUUAGCGCUACAUACCAUUUUCUCUUAAACCACGAAAGCUACAAAUUUUUUCUUUCCACA
Molecule: long non-coding RNA, 902 nt
Organism: Rhagoletis pomonella (apple maggot)
Lineage: Eukaryota; Metazoa; Arthropoda; Insecta; Diptera; Tephritidae
Exons: 2
Source: RefSeq, a predicted model, not a curated record